CCUUCCCGCCAAAUAACAUGCUCCUGAGCAGCGCUGGGGUUAGACCUUAGUGCCUGUGAGUGGGUUCGAUGAGUCCUGCCUGACACUUGUAUCAGAGAGAUUCAUCUUCUCAUCUUGAGAAUGAUUUUUGCCACGUGCUGCUCUGGAGAAAAUGAAGACUGUUAACGGGAAGAUUUCCUUCAUCUCAUGAGGCUUUGAGCAUUCUUGGGCUCCCAUACGCACCUCCAUUAAAAGAGGGUGUGUGUGUGUGUGUGUUUUUGAUGUGGAAAUAAGUUACGGUCCGUGUCUCAGAUCGGGCUGCCGUAAUAAAAUAUCAUAGACUGGGUGACUUCACAUCACAUCACAUUUCUCACAGUUCUUGAGCCCAGGGAGUUUCUAUUGACACUUUGUGAUUGACUGGGUCACAGUUUCCUGUGUCCUCACACGUCUAGCAUUUUUAUUUUGUAGAGGAAAUUAGGGAUGACAUAUUGCUAGGAGUCUUUGAGUUUUGUGACUUUGUUGGAUGUGUCUAGAGUAAGGCUUCUCUUACAGCAGCGUUUCUCAGACUCCAGAAAGCAUCUUCCAGACCUAUGGCGUUUUGGACUGGAAGAGUCUUCAUUUUAAGGGCUGUCCUGUUCAUUACAAAAUGUUUAUCUGCAUCCCAGGCCUCUACAUGUUUCUUGCCAGUAGCCUCCUCCAAGUUUUGACAACCCCCAAAUGUGUCCAGACAUUUUCCAAAUGUCUCCUGAGGAGCCUAAUUUCCCCCCAAGGACUAACUUACCCUUAUUCCUAAGGUAUGGUCUUUCUUGGGUCUCAAUCGAUGUGUUCCCAGAGGUCAUUAGACUUUUCUGGGUCAGAAUUCUAACUUGUCUCAGCUAAGUUCAUCCUUCUGAAUCCCCUUUUAUUCAGGGGCUGCUGGUAGCUGUUUUCAGGCAAGAUUCAUGUGUGUGUAUAUAUGCCAGCUUUAUUUUCAACCGAAGACUGAAGGCGAUUUGAAUACAGAUUUUUCUGAGCUCUUUCUCUGUGAAGUUAUCUUUUAUGGUACCCUGUCUAACAAAUUCCAGCUGGUUCAUCAGUUCUGAACUCCUAUCUCCGUUUUUUUGACAAAGCAAUACUAUGGCUGUCCAUCAGGCUAUAUUUAUCUUCUCUGUGGUUUGGAAAUAGAGCCAGGCAGACAUUUGGGGUGAAUGUGGAACUUUCCUCACACACUGUCCUUCUCUCAAGGGUUCAAAGUCAGAUAUGUUGUAUUUUAACAUGGCCACUGCUGUGUUCUCAGGCUUUACAGCUGCUUAGUGCCCAAGGGUAGGGCUGAGACACAUCCCUUCACCAUGUUGGGAAACAGAAGGGUAUGUUCCUUUCAAACAAGGCAUUUCUUUUUAAUAGAAAUCAGGAAACUAUUCUAUAACUGCAUUUUUUAUUCUUAUCUAUUCUCCCAUCCACUUUUUCCAGCCAAAUUUCAUAUCCUCAAAAUCCCAAAUAGCCCCAACUCAAAACCAAAACCUAUUUAAAAAUUUUUUCUGAAUUUGUUUUAUUCAGCUAAUCAAACAGUUCAUUGCUUAAUGACAGUGAACACCUGUUUAUGAGCAGUACGUGAAUUACUCUCUAGUUUACAGGCUUCUUAUGCAUCUAUUACUCUAUUUGAUUUGUAUAGCCAUGUUAGCUAUGAAUCACAGCCACAAGUUAAACAUAUGGAUGCAAUCAUUGUCACACUCACCCCAUUCACCAUAACUCAUACUGUAAAGCAGGAAAUCAAGACUGAAAAUGGCAUGCUGUUGGUUAAGUAGGAGCCAAGGACUGCUAUUCGUUCUUCUCAUUGAGUGUCCGUUUCUCUUUAUAUUAAUCACACACUGUACUCCGUGUCUUUCCACAAUCUAAGGUGCCAUAAUCGUAUAUCCCUAUAAUUUACAUCGGAGCUGAAGUGCUAGAAAAAUAUUUGAUUGAUUGAAGAAUGCAAGAUUGUUUCAACUUGCCAAAGAAGUUGGAUUCCACUGUGUAUCAUUCCCACAUCUCAUUCAAAUAUAGACAUCUUUUCUUUACUUCAUAGCAUUCUCCUCCAUCCCAGAGUGGUAUAAAUAUUAUAAAAUGAAACAAGCUCAGAGAGAAGAAAGAGAAGUAUUGGAGGGAUGUCUGGAGGUUUUCUUUUUCUUUUGUUAAUGCAAGGCUUACGUGAAGUGAGACCUCUCUAGAAUACACUAAGAUGUAGUUUCACUUCGUUCUUAACAAACCACGGUGACUAUCUACAGAGGGUGAAACGUGCAGGAAAGCGCAAUUUAUGAUGGCUGGGCAGAUGGUGUGCUAAAUGUCUUCUGUACAUUAAUUCACUUCACCAUAGGUCAUAGAAGGCACUUUUACAAGAAAUGAACAAGCUUUUGGCCGCUCUGUUUAAUGCAUUAUAUCUUUACAUUUAUUUAAUCAAAAUGAUCAUAUUGUGUAAAUAAAUGAGGGUUAUCAUGAAAAUUAAAUGUUAUGUUGUAACUAAUUCAUUUUGAAAUAAUUUAACAGUCAUUGGAUUUUACACUAAUUGCUUUAUGAGAUUAAUGAAUUUACAUAGUUAUAUGAGUCUCAUUACUUGGCAGAGUAUAGAAAGAAAAAGAAGCUAAUAAACUGGUCCAAGAACUCCAUUUGGUAUGAAGCAAGUAGAACGUCAACCUCUGCUUUAAAGCAGCAGCAGUUGAACCUCAUAGAGGAAAAGAACUGAUCAUACACUCUGGCUUUCCUGUUUCAGCACUAAAGCCAUGUAUGGAAAGUAUUUACCCAUGUAAAUAUACAUCAUCAUUAUUAACUGGGACAGAAUAUUUUACAUUUGGGGCACAAGGUCCAGGAAGAGAAAACGAGUACGUAGAAGUUUAGACACGUUACUCCAAGUUAGAAAUGCCGAAGGCCAGUGAUGAUACCAGGAGGAGAUGGUUGAACUUAAGAUACAAGUUGAAGGUCCUGUCCUUUUGAAUGUGUACAGACCACUCUGUUCAAUUAAAGGACAUUUUACAAGGAUUCAAGCAGAGUGUGAAAGCACCUCAGGAAAACUGUAGUCCCUGGUCCAGUAACAUUAGGGAGGUCUUUGUCCCCCUAGAUCUGAAGAGCAAAGAAGCAGGGAGAGAAGGUAAGCAGAACCAAAGAGCAGCCACUUUAGAUUAAGCCGUGGCCUUUGGUGGAAACAUACAGUAAAUUAUGAAUAGAAAUACAAAAUGCAGUAAAAAAAAAUGCAUUACAAAAUAUAGUGAAAAAUUCAGUAGAAAAAAUAAUACAGUGAACUCUGGUCAACUGACAAGAGGGAGCUGGCCAAUUACCCACUUCACUUUCACUCUCUUCUGCCCCAAGCUCCUGCUGGUGCUGUCCCACGUGCUGAGCAAACAGCCGCUGAAGAAGCAGCGAGAGGAUUGUCAGGCACAGCUUUGCGGGGCAAGGGCAGUGGGGUGAGGGGAGAAGAGUGUGUGGAAAAUGCGUAUGGAUGAUGCGCAGCCACCUAGGUAUUAGCUCUCUUGCUUCGGGAACACAUUAUCACAAACGGAGGAGCUUAAAACAAUACACAUUCGUCAUGAAGUUCUGGAGUCUAAAUGGCUUUCACUGGGCUAAAAUCAAGAUGUCAGUGUGGUUGAAUUCCUUCAGGGGGCGCUGAAGGCGAACUCCUUUCCUUGUCUCUUUGCACUUCUAUUUGUUGGUUCAUGGCUCCAGCCUCCAGGUUCAAGGCCAGCAUCAUAGCGUCUUCAAAUGUCUCCCUCUGAACUAAUCGCUGCUUCCGCCAUCACAACACAUUCCCUAACAACGACGCACCCUUGUCCCUCUGUCCCUGCUAAUAACUCUUGUGGUUUCAAUUCAUUAGACCCACUUGACUAAUCUAGGAUGAUCUUGCCAUCUAAAAAUCCUUAUUUUAAUCAGGUCUGCAAAGUAGUUUUUGACAUGUAAGGUAGCAUAUUUGCAGGUUCUAGGAAUUAGGAUUUAGGGAGGCAUAUUCUGUCUAUUAAAAUUUGAAAGUAAAGGCACAUGUUUCUAUAAUAGGCAUCAAAGGAGAAGGGAUGUACUCUCGAGUCGAAUCUGUGAUCUAAUUCUCAUUCUAAAAUAUAUUUGCUUUAUAAUUUGAGAACACAGUAUUUUAUUUUUUAAAUUUCUCAAUAUUUGUUACUAUCUUCAUUUAUGACUAAAUAUAUAUAUUACAUUAGUCAUUUAUAUGACAUCAUGAAUAAAGAUGAUCAGAAAAUAGCAUUUUCUGGCACAUUACAAAAUAUCUUAAAAUAUAUACUUGUUUAGGUAAAAUACAUAUAUGCAUGAAUUGUGUACGCAGUCACACAUAGAGCCUUCAGAAUAUAUGCUUUAUGUAUCAUAUAUGUGAUUUUUAAUAUAAAUUUAACGCAAAUUACUCCCUGAGUAUUAAUAUGAUUAUGAGUAUCACUGUUGUUACUCCCUCUGCUUAUAGAUAAUGGUUUACUAACAUAUGCACAUGUUAGACUUCUGUGAUUUUACUUAGAAUGUAUGUUUCAGACUGUUGCAUAUUCCUGUGCUCCUAUUCUGCAUGUAGUGUAAACAAGACGACUGAUAUCAAGAGGAAAUCAUUUUCUUACUUACGGACUAGUAAGUACAAAUGUAUAAUUUUGUUUUCAAAACAAUUACUAGUUUCUGCCUCCUAGACAAAUCUGCUAUAAAUCUGAGUCAUGUGUCUAUGUAUACAAUGGCCAUUCUGUGGGGGAAAACCUAAAACUAAAACUAAAAUUUUCUGCCAAACCAGAAAAACCUCUCCACAAAUGUCAAAAAGAACGACACUGUUUUCAUUAUUGAAUAAGACUCAAGCCACACUGUUGUGUGUAUCACAGGCCAUCUGCUAAUGAGAUUGUAAAGACAGAGUGAAAUCUCACCCCUUAAUAUAGCCAGGCAGAUACAAUCUAUUACAUGCACGUCCUUGAGAUAAAGUAUAACUUGUUAUCAUACGAAAGGACUUGACAGCGAUAUUUGCCAUAUAUAGUUCAUCUGAAUUUCACCUGAUAAUGGGAUGGCCAUCUGGGUUAGUUAAUUGCCUUUUU
Molecule: long non-coding RNA, 4991 nt
Filed under: Sus scrofa (pig)
Lineage: Eukaryota; Metazoa; Chordata; Mammalia; Artiodactyla; Suidae
Description: lncRNA (ENSSSCG00000062242.1)
Source: RNAcentral